Molecule: long non-coding RNA, 6002 nt
Filed under: Fragaria vesca (wild strawberry)
Lineage: Eukaryota; Viridiplantae; Streptophyta; Magnoliopsida; Rosales; Rosaceae
Description: long non-coding RNA (FVES_LNC000047)
Source: RNAcentral
CUCUCUUAACGUUUUUCAGACGACCAGUCUUAGGGCAAGUUGACAAUCUAUCUUCAUGAAGACGACCAGUCUUAAGAGCAAGUUGAUAAUCUUGAUACAUCUUCAAAGAUUUGCUCCAACUGCAGAGACAUCUUCUCGUCCUUCUUGUAGGUCGUCUCCGCAAGGGCCCUGGUAUCAUCUUUGAUAUCUGACAUCUUCUCGUCCUUCUUGUCGGUCGUCUCCAACAGGGCCCUUAUGCGGCUGGUAUCAUCUUUGAUAUCUCCGACUUGGAAUGCCAUCAAAACCAUAAGGCUCGUCUUAAUAUCCGAACUGACCUUGUCUAUUUGCUCGGAGUAUAUGGGGAUUAUCUUCUUAAGCUUGUGGGCGAUCCCUGAUGACUUAUUCAUCCUGUCCACGAGCUGGGUAGCCCGGUCGAUGUCUUCUUUGAGCACCUUGAUGAGUUCGGUAGGUACCCCAUUGACAAAUUCGCCAGGUACCAACGGAGAUUGAGUGUCCAGUCGGGCAGCAAUCAGCUUGAGACACACCAAGUUGGCAUUGAGCUUGCGAACAUUCGGUUCGAGCUCUUUGUAUUUAUCGUAGAGGCGGUUAGUUUGGAAUGCGAGGCCCACGGCCCCUGCGACAACUCCGAAUGCCUCCGUCAUCGAAGGAAAGAGUGAUGCUCCGUUUUGGGUAUUCGAUCUGUUUCUGUUUCUCUUUGAGAGGGAGAGUGGUAGAGCUAGGGUAGGGUUUUGUGGGAUACUGCGUUGGACUUGGACACCAACAUUAGAAUUAUUACAAAAAAAAUAUCGAAAACCCCGUCCACAAAGUUAAUCCAUGAUUUGCCUAAUUCCAAAACUUGUCGCAGCUGUGUCACUGACUUGCCCAUUCCUCUUAGAAGAUCCUGGAGCUCGUGGCGUAGACCAUCGUUUUCUUCUUCAGACGUAGGAGCCCGGCCCCGGAUUGCUUGUGUUUCUAGACGCUGGAUUGCUCCUUUAAGUUUGGCGAUGCAUGCUUUUCCGAGGUAAUAUCCUAGUUCUUCUGCUGCAACGCGAGGUCGUCCUUGAUUACGAUGGCGGAAGUUUUCUUCUAGACGAGGGAUUGCUUCUUCCAGUUCCCGGAUGUCUUCAAGCUCUAGAUAUGGGCGGUCUUCGUGUUCCACAUUCUCUGCGAAUUUUUUUUCUAGACGGCGGAUUACUUCUUCCAGUUCAACUACUAGACGGUGUCGUUCCUGUAAUAUUCGAUUCGACGUCGGCAUUGUUCUUCUUGUCCUUAUAUUUCUGCCCUACACAAGGUUAUUUAUAGGGAUUGUUUUAUGUAAUGCUAUUCCCAACAUGAAAAAUGAAAACAUUCCUUGUGAAGCAAGUGAUAAGAAAUAUAAUCCAACUAGAAUAAGGAAUUACCAUGUUUUUGAGAAGCAAGUAAAAUCCUAUUCCCAGCAUAAAAGAAAACAUUCCUAAUACCACUAUAAUAAGGAAAGUUCUCAAAAACAUAGCACAUAUGAUUCAACACUCAACACUCUUAACUCAUACAACCUUCGGACCGUACCAUAAAAAUUGGUAGAAACUAGAGACGAAUACUCUUUAACACAAAGUAGUGCUAACUAGUAUAAUAAUGGAAGCAGAAAACCAGACUACAUUUUGACAUGAGUGAUCAAUUAGUGUCUUUUAUUUCCUUGAAUAACAAGAAAUGAUACUUAGGGUAUUUGGUUUCAUAGAUCCAACCGCCCAGCAUGCUCUGAAACAAAAUAGGCAGCCCUUCUCUAACUACCUAGCUAGGUAGUUAAAUAACGUAUUAGUGGAUUAAUCUAUGUUGUUAUUAGAACAAAAGCCAAACCAUAAAACAAAAGGCCAAACCUAAUUCUUUGUUCUCAGUACCCUCUCUUUGAAAAGUAUAGGGCUCUAGAGAAAAACGGUUGUUCUUUUAUUCUUCUUUCAACUUUUUUCUCUCAUUCUAGUUCAAGUUAAAUAAUUAGAAUUUUGCUUGUUAAGAUCAUCUCAGCAUUAUGGUGUAUAGCUCUAGAAGUCAUUACUGGUUACUUGGUUAGUAUCUAAGCCAAUCCUAAUUCUAUUCUUCUUUUAAAACAAGAAUUUGAAUCCUAAUCCUAACCAUAACUAGAAAGAAGUCUGAGAUUGCUGUAUUCUGAUGAAAAGUACCACCCGUUCUCUUUCUCCGAGUCUCAGACAUUACCAUCAAAAUGGAGACGGUGCUUUCCUGGUGAUUCAUUUGCAACAUUAUUAUUUUCAAUUUCUGAUAUUUUGAUGAAAGGAGAGAAACUGAGGAAGAGAAGAUAUCGAAGAUGUAAGACAAAUGAAAACGACAAAAGAAUGAAGAUGAAUAAGUUAAAACAAAAAAUGACUAGCAAAAUCAUUUCAAAAUUAGAACAUUUUAUGUAUUCUGUCCUUCUCUACCAGAGACCUGACAUCUCUCAUUUGUCUCAUUAUAGUGUAAUGUAAAUAGUUAAACACUAUCACCUAGCGUUCUGAUUUUUCACACUGGAAACCAAAGAAAAUUAAGUUUCAAUGACAUUGGCAUCCAAUUUCAGCUUCUGUGCAUGUGUGAAUGAGUGCAGAAAAAUCCUCAGAUUUAUAUUUGAUUUGGGAUGCAAGAAACAACACUGAGAUACUUGGUGCUAAUGGUGAAUCCCAUAGAUUUCAAUUCUCAUGCUUAUGCUUAUGUGAUAUGUGGACCAAACGCAUCUCAAAAACCAAUUAGUCUCGAUCCUUGGGUGCAACUAUGUUGCUGUGUAGUAAAUUUUACAUCCCAUUCAUCUCUGUCAACCCCAAAGUGGGAAAGAGAUAUAUAUACACACAUUCCAAAGAACACUAGCUCCCAGUAAAGUUAAUAGCUUAAUUGCAAGUUCAGUUUUCUUCAACUACAAAGCAACUCAGCAGUGCUACAAAAAAAUGGCAAGAUAUCUACAACUCACUAGAUUUUGGUGAAUUUCUUUGAUUAAAGCUCUAAUUGUGGCUAAUGAACCUGAUUACGACAGCUUAAUUACUUGGUAAAAAGAAAGAGAGUGAGGAUGAAAGCCUUGUGAAAACAUGCUGUGUCUGAACAAACACACUCGUAUGUUCUUAAUUUGAAGCUGUAAGGGGACAUGGACAUAAACUUAAGAAACACAAAAGUCAACCUUAAAGCACACAGCAGUCCUAUUUCUUCAGCACAUAUGUGCUAGUGCUACAAGUACAAAAUGCAAAAGUUCAAUGAAAUUAGCUUAAACACAUUAUUCAUAGCUAUCUCGAUGAUAAUGGAAAAGGGUAUGCAAAUGCAACAGCCUUAGAAAACUUGGAGAAACAAAAUAGUAGUAAAAACCAAAGAUCCAGCAUCUCAUAACUUUUGGUGCAAAGUAACAUAAUAGUGAAGGAACAAAACAAUGUUCGGUUUCCACAACAGACAUAGUGAGUCUGUGUGUAUGUUUGAACAGAUGCUUGAGCUAUACCUAUGUCAGCUAGCUGCAUAGAGCUAAUCGCCAACUAGGCAUAACUAUAAAAUUGAAAGCCCUCCAGUUUCUGACAACCUAGUUAGUUAUAUACCGUCUCUGCAGAUCAAUCUAGGCUAAUCAAAAUACACUAAUAUACCAAACUUAAGCCGCCAAACACACUAAUAUAUAAUGUCACCGAGGAUCAAUCAGUGGCUGCAUGCACGGCACCUGAAAUGUUGCUCAACUGUGUCAGGAGUUAUAUGCACACAUGUGCCAUGGAACCACUGCUCACAUAUGUUGCAUUGAAUCCAGUAUUCAGCUAACCCAAAGCACUUCCUACAGGCACCACAUAUAGUUUCCCCAUCAUCCUGUUCCACAAAAAAUGGACAGGUAUUAGUAAUAUGUAAACAAAUUCAAGUUUCAUGCACACACACAAACAAGUUCAAGUUCAUUUAUAUUUAUUAAAUCCCCCAAUACUAGUAACGCUUGUGCACACUCAGAUUUGUUCAAGUUCAUGGAAUGAUUGCUCUGCUUCAUAUUUGUUAUGUGGAUCACUGGAGAAGUUAAGACCUAACCAAUCAUAUUAGACUAAGCUUACCAAAAUGCAAAACUUAUAAUCCCUUCAUGCAAUUGCAGUGCACUGAAACAUACAAUAUUGAUGAAGGCCAAGAGAAAAUAAAUAUUGAUGCAUGUCUUCCACAGAAAAAGUGUCUCAAAACUGACAUUAAUCCUUAAUGUAAUUUUAUAAAAGCUGAAUACAACAUCUCAAAGAUCUCAUCUAAGACUAAUAUAGUGAGAAUAAGUAAAGCGAACUCACACUUAAUAUGGCACAAAUGUGAAAUCUUAGACCAUCUGAAGAGCACCUAGAGAAACAAAUCCAGCACAUACCAGUAUGAUUCUUCAAAAUUAUGAAUGCACCACCAAUCCCCUACCUUCCUUACUCUUCAUCUAAUUGCAACUAUGGCACUAGCACAUACAUAACCUCUAUAUCAACCCAGAAACAGAUAUGCUAGAUGUAAUAAAACAUAUAUGAACCAACCUAAAGGGGUCUCUGACUCCUUGAAAGCAAAUACUAGCACGGACACAGGGUAUCUUCACACAAUAGCCUAGAUAUCUCCAUUGUUGAUGCAUCAAGUCUAGGAAACUUACCUCUUCAGCAACCCUAGAUGUGCUAGUGCCAGCAGUCACUUCCCCUUCAGAUUCUCUGGAAAUUUCAUGUCUUCAAGAUCUUUUUCAGUCUGAUUUCCAUAUGGGUCAGCGAAUCAGGCAACAGACUGGUCAAAUUGGUUAGAAUGUCAUCGAACAGAGUGCCACCAUACUUGCCACCACAGUUGCCAUCAACAACAAUACUGAAACACUUGCCAUCAUCGAGGUUAAACUUAUCAUCGAGCUUAAAAUCCUCUAACCUGAGUGAAUCAUCGAGCAAAUGCUUCUGGAAAUCCUUAUAAAGUUUAUUUUGCUGACGAUGAAUGUCUUGAUACUAUCAUUUAGCUGCUGGACUUGAGAGACGUAUGCCUUGAUACCAUCAGCUAGAUGAUAGUAUCAAGACAUUCAUCCAUCAGCAAAAUAAACUUUAUAAGGAUUUCCAUAAGCAUUUGCUCGAUGAUUCACUCAGGUUAGAGGAUUUUAAGCUCGAUGAUAAGUUUAAAUCUCGAUGAUAACAUGGCAAGUGUUUCAGUAUUGUUGUUGAUGACAACUGUGGUGGCAAGUAUGGUGGUACUCUGUUCGACAACAUUCUAACCAAUUUGAUCGGCUUGUUGCCUGAUUCGCUGACCCAUAUGGAAAUCAGACUGAAAAAGAUCUUGAAGAUUCAUGGAAUUUCCAGAGAAUCUGAUGGGAAGACUGCGCGUGAUCUGACAUCCGGUGGAAAUUGGAUGUGAUGUCCUUCUCCAAAUCCGGCCUCAACAACAUCCCCCGAAAUAGAAGACGACCAGUCUUAGGGCAAGUUGACAAUAUAUCUUCAUGAAGACGACCAGUCUUAGAGCAAGUUGAUAAUCUUGAUACAUCUUUAAAGAUUUGCUCCAACUGCAGAGACAUCUUCUCGUCCUUCUUGUCGGUCGUCUCCAGAAGGGCCCUUAUGUGGGUGGUAUCAUCUUUAAUUUCAGAGGAUUGGAGUGACGUCAAAACUAUAAGGCUUAACUGGAAAUCCGAACUGACCUUGUCCAUUUGCUGGGAAUAUACGGGGAUUAUUUUCUUGAGCUUGUGGGCGAUCCCUGAUGACUUAUUCAUCCUGCCCACGAGCUGGAUAGCCCAGUCGAUGUCUUCUUUGAGCACCUUGAUGAGUUCGGUAGGUACCCCAUUGACAAAUUCUCCAGGUACCAGCGGAGAUUGAGUGUCCAGUCGCCUUGAGACAGCCCACGGCCCCUGCGACAACUCCGAAUGCCUCGGCCAUCGAAGGAGAGAGUGUUGCGCCGUUUUGGGAAUUCGAUCUGUUUCUGUUUCUCUUUGAGAGGGAGAGUGGUAGAGCUAGGGUAAGGUUUUGUGGGAUACUGCGUUGGACUUGGACACCAACAUUAGCAUAGUAGCAGGCCUCUUGUGCUGCUAGCUCAUUUUGUGGUUCUAGCCCAACUUACUAAAUAUCUUCUUUGUCUCUUAUCCUGUU